UCGCGAGCGCGUGUUCUUCGAAUGACCUUCCUGCCUCGGGCGUCGGGAGAUAAGCGAAAGAACGUGCCGGGGAUCGCGGACAAGAGGCUUUGAAGCGGCCAAAUUGAAGCGGCCAAACUGAAGCGGCCAAACUGAAGUGGCCAAACUGAAGCGGCCAAACUGAAGCGGUCAAAUUGAAGCGGCCAAACUGAAGCGGCCAAACUGAAGCGGCCAAAUGGUCAACGCGCCAGACUAGACUUUGCUGCCGGAGACGGGAUGGUACCAGGCGAGGUCACCAUCGGGGGUUAUGAGGCCCGCUGUCUGAACAGCCUGCGGGGGAGAACCAUGAACCAGCCACCGCCACGCGAGAACCGGAAUGCCCACAGGAAGAAACCACC
Molecule: long non-coding RNA, 377 nt
Filed under: Penaeus monodon (black tiger shrimp)
Lineage: Eukaryota; Metazoa; Arthropoda; Malacostraca; Decapoda; Penaeidae
Description: uncharacterized LOC119591875, transcript variant X1
Source: RNAcentral